CAAGAAAACGAAAACGUGGAUAAUGAGGAACAAUGUUUCUGCAUAACAUAUUCUGCAUAACAUAUAGUGAAAAAAUCAGAGUUUGCUGAUGCAGAAUCAGAGGAAACAUAACCUCAAGACCAAUUCGAGGUAAUUUAAGCAGGGAAAAAAAAAACAUCUGUGCAUCGAUGUCAAAUUAAUAGUCCUGUAAAAGGAGGGCAGGAAGAAAAGGUAGAGCAAAUUAAGGAAAGAAGAAGAGGCAAUAUCUGAAAAACAUGUCUAUAUGAAGCUGAGGACCUUACAGACAUGUUUAAAAAGAAAAAUGGAGGAGAGGGGAAGGGGAAGAAGUGGUAUUUUGGAAAUGACAAACAGAGGUAGGACAAUACAUGACAGGCCUCUGGGGAGUCACAGCUAAAUCCUUGGAGACUCCAGGAAACAGCUGAACCCAGGAGAAGGCAGAUGGGGAGGUGCUGCUGGGGACAGUGCUGUGGUGGCACAAGGACUAUGGUGACAUCACUGAGCAACAGACUGUGAUGCCACCAAGCUUUGGGCGCUGGCAGGGCCUGGCCCAGUCAGUCUCGUGCCUGGACUCCUGCCGAGCGAGUGUGUGAGGCUUGGAGGUGGAGCGAGGAUUUUGCUUGUGUGUUGGGCUGUGCUUUGGGGACUGCUGGCAGCUGCUCUCAGUGCCCAUCCCUACAGCCAUCACCUGUAAUCCCCUGGCCUGCCUGGCUCAGGCAGCCGGGGCCCCACAAAGUGCACGUGCAGCAGCACAGGUGAGCCGGGUGAGAACACAUCCCACAGGGUGGCAAUGGGGUAAUCGAUGGAACAAGGGGAGCUGCCAGGGCCAGGGCUGAAGUCUGACACAGCGAGGGUGUGGGGCAUGCGGCAACACAGGAGUGGGUCAGGGAGGAUAGACUGCUG
RNAcentral lists this long non-coding RNA (900 nucleotides) under Gallus gallus (chicken). Its description in RNAcentral is "lncRNA (ENSGALG00010015081.1)". Lineage: Eukaryota; Metazoa; Chordata; Aves; Galliformes; Phasianidae. The record is from RNAcentral.